GACACAAGUAUUUUCCCACUGAUGUACAAAUACCGUUCUGCUUUUAUGCAUGUUGUCAUAUAGGAAUAUAUUUUGUUUAUUAAUAAACAGCACACAGUGGUCCCGCUCAUCCGUCACUGCCUCACUUUUUCGCUGAUUUAUUUAUUUAUUUUUUUUGCACCGUACAGCAUUGCAUUCUGCAGCCUGAUUGACAAAUCUUCUCCGUGUCGUGUCUCCUGCGCUUGUCAAAUUUAUCAUGUUUUGUUUUGAUAACCAUCACGUCCAAUAGAUAAAACAGCACAAAAACACCCAUAACUAUGACCCUCAUUCGGAAAUAGACACCUGCACCGCGAGGGAAAAAGAUGCACAAAAGUGGCAGGCAGACGAAGACAAAACACGGCAUAAUAAUACUUUUACGUUUUGCAAUCUACAAAGGUUUGCACUUUGAGAAUCAACUUGUGAGAACUGUGACUAAUGUUCAUGUGUGUGGGGAAAAAAGUGUAUAAAGUGUGUGGUGAGGGGCUAGUUAUUCUGACAACCCCUGCUGCAAUAAAUGAGGGACCACUGUAUAUACUUUCUCUAUGACUAUUGUUUAAAACCUGUUAACAUUUAAUAUUGUCUUGAUAGAACCAGCUGAUUCUGCAGCAGAGCAUCCCCUGUUGCUUCUCCUGGCUCCCCAGUCCCUGAGCUCCUGCUGCUGCACCCACAGGCCCCAGAGGAGGACAGCUCCGAGGCAGAUGAGGGACUGGUCCCAGGACGGUCCAUCGGCGGUGGAGCUGGCCAUCCUGGAGUUCCUGAAGAGGCCACGCCAGUCUCCAAUGGAGCAUUUCCUCCUCAGCCUUGUUCCUGCUCUGGAGAGCAGCUGGGUCCUUUUUAUUCCUGUCUCUCUAUGGCCUGACUCGACAGGUAAACGCUGUUUCUGAGUUUGCCUUUCCCCAAGCAGUGCAGAAAUGUCUCCGCUAUGCUCCAGAUCGGAUAGGUGGUGCAGGAUGCCCGAUACCGGAGUAAACAUUUAAAAAACAAAAAAACAAAAACAAAACAAAAACAAAAAAACUGACUUGG
Long non-coding RNA from Pelmatolapia mariae (spotted tilapia), 1041 nucleotides. RefSeq lists it as uncharacterized. NCBI's taxonomy places the organism in Eukaryota, Metazoa, Chordata, Actinopteri, Cichliformes, Cichlidae. The record is from RefSeq and is a predicted model, not a curated record. The transcript has 3 exons.